UACGUAGGGCGCAAGCGUUGUCCGGAAUUACUGGGCGUAAAGCGCGCGCAGGUGGUCUUUCAAGUCAGUGGUGAAAGCCCGGAGCUCAACUCCGGAAAUGCCAUUGAAACUGUAAGACUUGAGGAUGAGAGAGGUGAGUGGAAUUCCCAGUGUAGAGGUGAAAUUCGUAGAUAUUGGGAAGAACACCGGUGGCGAAGGCGGCUCACUGGCUCAUAUCUGACGCUCAGGCGCGACAGCGUGGGGAUCAAACAGG
Molecule: ribosomal RNA, 253 nt
Filed under: uncultured bacterium
Lineage: Bacteria
Description: partial 16S ribosomal RNA
Rfam family: Bacterial small subunit ribosomal RNA
Source: RNAcentral